This 64-nucleotide transfer RNA is filed under the name Cavia porcellus (domestic guinea pig). It matches the Rfam family "tRNA", at positions 1 to 62 of the family's 71-position model. From Rfam's summary of the family: Transfer RNA (tRNA) molecules are approximately 80 nucleotides in length. Their secondary structure includes four short double-helical elements and three loops (D, anti-codon, and T loops). The record is from Rfam by way of RNAcentral. Lineage: Eukaryota; Metazoa; Chordata; Mammalia; Rodentia; Caviidae.
GGGGGUUUAGCUCAGCGGCCUAAGUGCCUGCCUUGCAAGCAGGCAGUCAUGAGUUCAAUCCCCG